AAGGAGCGAACACUCCAUUUACGACGCAGAAGUUAAAAGCUUGUCGGGGAACUGCAAUCUAGGGUUCUUACUCAACCAGCUGAAAUCUAGGUUUCUUACUCAACCAGUAUCGUGUCGAUCAGAGUGAAGCGUCCUCCACACGUAAAUUAGGGUUUUCGUAGUUCGAGGUUUAAGGAACUGUGAGGUUUCAAGUUUAAACAUCGAAGCUCAAAGUUAACAUUGAAUUAUCAUUUCGGAAUCCGAGGUAACAGCUUCGUUCCAUUUCAUUUCAAUUGAAAUGUUUUAGACGCACGCUAGAGUUAAAAUCUUUCUUCUGCUUGAGUUAAUCAAGGUCAUUUUACGUUUUGCAUAUCUUACGGGAGAGAAUCUCUCUACCUUAAGUUUUCGACUUUUGCAUGUGAUAGCCCUAGGUUGUUUUUACUUUUGCUGCCCUAAUUUCAGAAGCCUGAGAAAUCUCGUACUUAUUGAGGAUGAGAUCAUAGGGUAACUGGUACUCGAUUAUGGUGUUAAAAUUGUGAUCACAACCAUGCAAUUACAUGGGACCUAAUGUCGGGAUUAGAAAUGUAUUAGUGGCAAUGGAACUAACUAAGAUUCCUUGUGCUGGUUUUCAAAAAGCUAAAAGACGCAUUUCUAAACUUAUCUAGACAGGCUAGUCAUACUAGAUUUGACUUACUGCAUUGAUCCAGGGAGUCAUCAAUGGUUUUAGUUCUCUUUUCAUUUAUUUAUAGGAAUGCUUGCUUAUGAAGUUGAAGGGUGAUAUCACUCGUAGUACCCACUUUUUAUUGCAUAUAUAUUUUUUUGUUUAAACUUUAACUUAUUUCGUUUACACUUGAAUGUGGCUCUUUGCAGUACAUAGAGCAUGGGGCAUAGAUUAUUUUCUACUUCUACAGAGGUUGUUUUGGUUCUCUCUCUUGGGAAGAGUUUGUAUGAAGGUUACGCUUGCUAAUGGUUUAAAUAUGUGAAUCUUCUCUGUUCAAUAUGCUAUUCAGGGGAUGAAGAUUAGCGAUGGUAACUAGCUGUAAUCUUGUUCAAUUAGGAUUUGUAAUCAGAGGAGGGAAGUCAAAAUGAUAAGUGGGAACAGAACCACUGGCAUGAACCAAAUGAUAAGUCUUUUGAUGGACUGUGAGUAGUUAGCUAACUAUGCAAGGACUGACUUUUGCUGUCAUUAAUCUUUCCAGUGCUGUGGAGACUGAUGAAAUGUGAGAAAAAUGAACGAAAUUUUGCUUAGAAUCGUUGAAGAUGUCAAGUGCUGAUUCAUCUAUACCCGCUUCCGCUUCAUAUAUUUUUAUGGCAUAAUCUGACUACAUACUGGAUUUACCAGUCCGGAAGAUAGGGCAUUACUUUGUUCACAGUAAUGGCAAGCUGAUAUUCAGCAGCUUCUUACUUAAGUGGUUGACAAUGUUUUUUAGAAUUUGAUUUCAAAGAGAAUCUAAACCCACUUGAGCACAAGCUGCUUAGAAAGCCCUUUCUGUUUCUAUCAAAGAAGAGCAGAUAUCACUUGAAGGAAAGGUGAAACCUUGCAUACACUGUCAGAAAUAAGGAAGUCAGAUUGCAAAAGGGACAAAUGGGGUGUUUUAAGUUCUGUUGACGUUGGACAUGAUUUAUGAGCUGAUGUAUUGUGCAUGGUUGUCAGCAUCUUGUGGAGCCGCAAUCUGGUGUUUGUACAAGGAAUGUGAAAUGCAUGAUGGGAGGCCAUAAUACGUUAAAUUGGUUACGAAAGCACACUUCCUUGUUUAUAAAUUUAAUGAACCAGAAAUAUUCCCUCAUGGUGGCAAUAAUAGGAUUCUUUCCUUUUAAAUGGAAGAACACCUUCACAAUAAUCCUCCUUUUAAAUGAAGGAGAUAGUUAGGAUUUUAAUUACCACCUUCAAGUUUCCAGCCUUGCACCUCCCAACUAUGUGGCCUGUAAUAUUCUUUUUUGUUCGUUAAAGAUUUCGGAGAAUCUUAAUGAUGUUUUACAUAUGGAAUAUAGAGAUAAAGACAAUAUUGUGGGAAAGUGGACUAGAAUCUAAUCGGCAAAAAGAGAAGAGAUGCAUAACGGUACUGUAUUUUGACUGGUCAGGGUCAAGGGACUCUGGAGUGGACUUAAUAUUUAUUAUUGCAAUUGCAAUGAUAUAAAUAGGAAAGAACCUUCAUAUUAC
RNAcentral lists this long non-coding RNA (2140 nucleotides) under Carica papaya (papaya). RNAcentral describes it as "long non-coding RNA (CPAP_LNC008683)". The record is from RNAcentral. Lineage: Eukaryota; Viridiplantae; Streptophyta; Magnoliopsida; Brassicales; Caricaceae.